This 301-nucleotide ribosomal RNA is filed under the name uncultured bacterium. Its description in RNAcentral is "partial 16S ribosomal RNA". It matches the Rfam family "Bacterial small subunit ribosomal RNA", at positions 509 to 807 of the family's 1533-position model. The record is from RNAcentral.
CAGCCGCCGCGGUAAUACGAAGGGGGCUAGCGUUGCUCGGAAUGACUGGGCGUAAAGGGCGCGUAGGCGGUGGCCAAAGUCAGGCGUGAAAUUCCUGGGCUCAACCUGGGGGCUGCGCUUGAUACUUGGUUGCUUGAGUGGGGAAGAGGGUCGUGGAAUUCCCAGUGUAGAGGCGAAAUUCGUAGAUAUUGGGAAGAACACCGGUGGCGAAGGCGGCGACCUGGUCCUUGACUGACGCUGAGGCGCGAAAGCGUGGGGAGCAAACAGGAUUAGAUACCCCCGUAGUCCCUGUCUCUUAUAC